UACGGAGGGUGCAAGCGUUAAUCGGAAUCACUGGGCGUAAAGCGCGCGUAGGCGGCUUGUUAAGUCGGAUGUGAAAUCCCCGGGCUCAACCUGGGAAUGGCAUUCGAUACUGGCAAGCUAGAGUUUGGCAGAGGGUGGCGGAAUUCCAGGUGUAGCGGUGAAAUGCGUAGAUAUCUGGAAGAACACCAGUGGCGAAGGCGGCCACCUGGGUCAAAACUGACGCUGAGGUGCGAAAGCGUGGGGAGCAAACAGG
RNAcentral lists this ribosomal RNA (253 nucleotides) under uncultured bacterium. Its description in RNAcentral is "partial 16S ribosomal RNA". It matches the Rfam family "Bacterial small subunit ribosomal RNA", at positions 524 to 776 of the family's 1533-position model. The record is from RNAcentral.